Molecule: long non-coding RNA, 298 nt
Filed under: Panax ginseng (ginseng)
Lineage: Eukaryota; Viridiplantae; Streptophyta; Magnoliopsida; Apiales; Araliaceae
Description: long non-coding RNA (PGIN_LNC010953)
Source: RNAcentral
GUAUACCUAUUUUGGGGGCGUCACAGUUGGUAUCAAAGCUUAGGGAUAUGAUCCUUGGCUAAGAUGUGAGACAAGAACUAGGAGGGGAGAGACGGGGAAUUCCUUCACUAGUAUGACCUACCUAAGUUUAUUUGGUAUUUAAUUGGUUGGUUAGAGUAUAGGGAUAAUAUGUGAUAUGUUAAUUAACCCUUGUUUUGUGGCAGUAUUUGAAAAUGACAUCCGAGAAUGUUGAGAACAUCAAUGGAGCACAGGAGACCGUUGAGUCUCCACAAAUCAAUAAUCAGGAUAAUGUGCAUCA